Long non-coding RNA from Condylura cristata (star-nosed mole), 2335 nucleotides. RefSeq lists it as uncharacterized. The transcript has 4 exons. The record is from RefSeq and is a predicted model, not a curated record. Lineage: Eukaryota; Metazoa; Chordata; Mammalia; Eulipotyphla; Talpidae.
CGAGCUCGCGCCGCCCAGGAACUGUGCUUGGAGCGCAAUGGAAAGGACUUCCACUUGGUUUUUGAUUUUGUCCUUUUUCUCCCAGGCUUCAGGUCCAGACCAGACCUAAGGUUUCCUGAAGUCUUGGAGAGGCAGCAUCCCUCCAGCCCAUGGACCACUUGGCCAUGACUAAUCAAGUGAUCACCCCAGCCAAUACAGAGAAGCAUCCCUGUCUCCUGCCUUCAGCAGUGCGUGUUCUUGUCUUGCCCUCUGGACAAAUGGAACCUGCUGCUCCCAAAGAAGACAAGUGGAAAUCUGAGUGCAGCUUGGAUCCCAGCCAGGCUGCUGCACCCAAGCACAUCGCAGAACCCCAGCAUCAUCAAAAGCUCAAGCCCAGUCAUCAUGACAGCCCUAGGCAGUUCCUGCUGAAGAAGGCCCGAUAGACGAGAAGUCAUCGAUACAGUGUAUGCCAGCCGACCGGAUCUGACUGACCAGCCUCUGCCAGACCCAGAGUGGGAACUAUUCACAGAUGGCAGCAGCUUCAUGGACCAAGGCCGAUGAUGUGCAGGAUACACAGUGGUGACACUCCAGGACACCAUAGAAGCCAAGGCUCUUCCAGCAGGCACAUCAGCACAGAAAGCUGAAUUGAUAGCCUUGACCCAUGCCUUGGGACUGUCUGGAAGGUAAAUGAGUCAAUAUAUUUACUGAUUCAAAGUAUUCCUUCAUGAUUCUCCACAUGCAUGGGGCUAUUUGGAAGGAGCGAGGACUCCUUACUGCCAGUAACAAAGAUGUUAAGCACCCAUUGGAAAUCCUGGCCUUGCUGAAGGCAGUAGCUUUACCAUCAACGGUAGCCGUGUUGCAUUGUCCCGACCAGCAGAAGGGUGGGUCUGACACAGCUAAGGGCAACAGGGAAGCUGACUGGUUGGCAAAAGCUGCUGCUCGCUCUGCUCUCCAGGGUGCACUUAUCCCUCUUGUGGACCUAACUCAAUAUGCUCCUGAAUACACAGAGUAAGAUGAGAAGAGAGCUCGUGAAUGGGGAUUUACUGAGUUUGACCCCAGCUCCACUUGGAGAGUAAACUCCCAUGGGAUGAUACUCCUCCCAGAGGCUCUAGUAUAUCCAGUACUGAAACAUCUGCAUGAAGGAUCCCACUAUGGGAGAGACACUUUAUUAGAGACAGUGCGUUCAUAUUUGAAGGGCCCAUAUUUACACAAGACAGCACAACGGAUCACUCGAGGUUGUCAAAUAUGUGCCCGAAAUAACCCAAAGACUAACUUGCACUCUAAAGCUACUGGGGUUCAAUAUCGGGGCAAGUGCCCUUUUGAGGACUGGCAGGUGGAUUUUACAAAUGCCUAGAACCACCGGCAAUUUCAAAUACUUAAUGGUUUUCGUAGAUACCUUCUCAGGAUGGGUAGAAGCAUUCCCCACUAGGACCGAGAAAGCUUUGGUCUAUUAAAAGAGAUAAUCCCUCGCUUUGGUUUACCUGACUCUAUCCAGAGUGAUAAUGGGCCUGCAUUUGUCUCUAAAAUUACUCAUACAGUAAGCAGUGCUUUACAGAUUAACUGGCAAUUGCAUGCUGCAUGGAGACCACAAUCUUCCGGACAAACUGAAAAAAUGAACCACACUUUAAAGAAGACCUUGGUGAAACUGUGCCAGGAAACACAACUGCGUUGGGACCAGGUAUUAUCCCUUGCCCUUCUCCGGAUAAGAGUGGCACCUAGAAUGGGCUACAAUUAAGCCCCUUUGAAAUUGUGUUUGGAAGACCCUUUCAGGCCUCAGUUCUAAAGGCCACUCCAGAUAUAGAACAGGAUUGUAGGGUCACACAAUAUGUGAAACACAUCCAGGAGGUAUUGGCAAUAAUGCACAAUUUUGCAAUAUCAAGGACCUCUGUGCCUCCUGAUGAACCACUACAUCCUUUCAAACCUGGAGAUCAGGUCUUACUCAAGAGUUGGCAGAGCGGAGAUGCCCAAAACCAACUGUCAGAGAAAUGGACUGGUCCACACGAUGUUUUAAUGAGCACACAUACUUUGAAACUUGCGGGCAUAAAACCCUGGGUACAUCAUUCCAGAGUUAGGAAAGCCCCAGAUGGAACUGACAUACAGAGGAAACCCACCUGGUCUUGCGAACCUAUUGAAGACCUCAAAUAUUUAUUUAAGAAAAAGUAAAAAACUUAAAUGGAACUAACUUUUCUUUUCUAGCUAUGUGGCAUUGUACUUCAAAAUACACUUUCUGUAGGAACCCUGAGAUGAUGAACAUGCUCUAACCAUUUUUUUUUUCCUUUGGGAACAUUUAGGAAUAUAACAAUAACCAUGCAAUUUCGCUAGCAGUAUUUUUUUUUAAUUUGCUUUUACUACACAA